This 440-nucleotide ribosomal RNA is filed under the name uncultured bacterium. RNAcentral describes it as "partial 16S ribosomal RNA". It matches the Rfam family "Bacterial small subunit ribosomal RNA", at positions 338 to 795 of the family's 1533-position model. The record is from RNAcentral.
CCUACGGGAGGCAGCAGUGGGGAAUAUUGCACAAUGGGGGAAACCCUGAUGCAGCGACGCCGCGUGAGUGAAGAAGUAUUUCGGUACGUAAAGCUCUAUCAGCAGGGAAGAAAAUGACGGUACCUGACUAAGAAGCCCCGGCUAACUACGUGCCAGCAGCCGCGGUAAUACGUAGGGGGCAAGCGUUAUCCGGAUUUACUGGGUGUAAAGGGAUCUGAGACGGCAGCGCAAGUCUGGAGUGAAAUCCCAUGGCUUAACCAUGGAACUGCUUUGGAAACUGUGCAGCUAGAGUGCAGGAGAGGUAAGCGGAAUUCCUAGUGUAGCGGUGAAAUGCGUAGAUAUUAGGAGGAACACCAGUGGCGAAGGCGGCUUACUGGACUGUAACUGACGUUGAGGCUCGAAAGCGUGGGGAGCAAACAGGAUUAGAUACCCCGGUAGUC